UACAGAGGGUGCGAGCGUUAAUCGGAAUUACUGGGCGUAAAGCGUGCGUAGACGGCUAUCUAAGUCGGGUGUGAAAGCCUCGGGCUCAACCUGGGAAUUGCAUUCGAGACUGAAUAGCUAGGGUGCGGUAGAGGGAAGCGGAAUUUCCGGUGUAGCGGUGAAAUGCGUAGAUAUCGGGAAGAACACCCGUGGCGAAGGCGGUUCUCUGGGACGGUACUGACGCUGAGACGCGAAAGCGUGGGGAGCGAACAGG
RNAcentral lists this ribosomal RNA (253 nucleotides) under uncultured bacterium. Its description in RNAcentral is "partial 16S ribosomal RNA". It matches the Rfam family "Bacterial small subunit ribosomal RNA", at positions 524 to 776 of the family's 1533-position model. The record is from RNAcentral.